UUCCGUAGGUGAACCUGCGGAAGGAUCAUUGUCGAAGCGACCGUGGCAACCUCGUCCGUAAACCGAACCCCGGCGCGGAAUGUGCCAAGGAACUGAAACCAAAGAGCGUCGCCGGCCGCCUCGGACACGAUGUGUGUGCCGGCGUCGACGUCUUGUAUUUAUCCAAAACGACUCUCGGCAACGGAUAUCUCGGCUCUCGCAUCGAUGAAGAACGUAGCGAAAUGCGAUACUUGGUGUGAAUUGCAGAAUCCCGUGAAUCAUCGAGUCUUUGAACGCAAGUUGCGCCCGACGCCAUUCGGCCGAGGGCACGUCUGCCUGGGUGUCACGCACCGUUGCCCCCAAACGCCCCCGCCUCGCAAGGGGCGCGGGAUCUCGUUUGGUGGCGGAAGUUGGCCUCCCGUGGGCCUGUGCUCGCGGUUAGCCUAAAAAGGAGUCCUCGGCGACGAGCGCCACGACAAUCGGUGGUUGAUUAGACCUCGGUCCCCGUCGUGCGUGUCUGGUCGCCACAAGGUGUGACUCGUCGACCCUAACGCGUCGUACCCACGUCGCUCCCAACGCGACCCCAGGUCAGGCGGGACUACCCGCUGAG
RNAcentral lists this ribosomal RNA (589 nucleotides) under embryophyte environmental sample. RNAcentral describes it as "eukaryotic LSU rRNA". The stretch from base 170 to 325 matches the Rfam family "5.8S ribosomal RNA". The record is from RNAcentral. Lineage: Eukaryota; Viridiplantae; Streptophyta.